CGGCUACCUUGUUACGACUUAGCCCCAGUCGCUGGUUUUACCUUAGGCGGCUGCGUCCUUACGGUUCGCGCACCGACUUCGGGUACCCCCAGUUUCCAUGGCUUGACGGGCGGUGUGUACAAGGCCCGGGAACGUAUUCACCGCGGCGUGCUGAUCCGCGAUUACUAGCAAUUCCAGCUUCAUAGGGUCGAGUUGCAGACCCCAAUCCGAACUGAGACCACUUUUUUGGGAUUGGCUCCGGCUUGCGCCUUGGCAACCCUUUGUAGUGGUCAUUGUAGCACGUGUGUGGCCCUGGGUGUAAGGGCCAUGAGGACUUGACGUCAUCCCCACCUUCCUCACUACUUGCGUAGGCAGUCCACUUAGAGUGCCCAGCAUUACCUGAUGGCAACUAAGUGCAGGGGUUGCGCUCGUUGCAGGACUUAACCUAACACCUCACGGCACGAGCUGACGACAGCCAUGCAGCACCUGUACAAGUGCGUAUUGCUACGAGAGCGACUUUCAUCGCCUGUCACUUGCCUUUCAAACCCAGGUAAGGUUCUUCGCGUUGCAUCGAAUUGAACCACAUGCUCCACUGCUUGUGCGGGCCCCCGUCAAUUCCUUUGAGUUUCAACCUUGCGAUCGUACUCCCCAGGUGAGAUGUUUAACGCGUUAGCUCAGACACCAAUCCUUACGGACUAACAUCGAACAUCCAUCGUUUAAGGCGUGGACUACCAGGGUAUCUAAUCCUGUUUGAUCCCCACGCUUUCGUCC
This 750-nucleotide ribosomal RNA is filed under the name uncultured bacterium. Its description in RNAcentral is "partial 16S ribosomal RNA". The record is from RNAcentral.